RNAcentral lists this ribosomal RNA (468 nucleotides) under uncultured bacterium. RNAcentral describes it as "partial 16S ribosomal RNA". It matches the Rfam family "Bacterial small subunit ribosomal RNA", at positions 28 to 507 of the family's 1533-position model. The record is from RNAcentral.
GACGAACGCUGGCGGCGUGCUUAACACAUGCAAGUCGAACGGAAAGGCCCUGCUUUUGUGGGGUGCUCGAGUGGCGAACGGGUGAGUAACACGUGAGUAACCUGCACUUGACUUUGGGAUAUCUUCAGGAAACUGGGGCUGAUACCAUAUAGUAGCUCCUGCUUCAUGGCGGUGGUUGGAAAGAUUCAGCUGUUGGGGAUGGACUCUCGGUUUAUCAGCUUGUUGUUGGGGUGGUGGCUUACAAAGGCGUUGACGGGUAGCCGGCCUGCGAGGGGGACCGGGCACACUGGGACUCAGAGACGGCCCAGACUCCUCCGGGGGGGAGAGGAGGGGAAUAUUGCAGAAUAGGCGGAAGCCUGAUGCAGCAACGACGCGUGCGGGACGAUGAACUUCGGGUUGUAAAAAGCUUUCGCCUGUGACGAAGAGUGAGAGACGGUAAUCGGCAAAGAAGCACCGGCUUAAUACGGU